GCCUGGGUGGCUCAGUCGGUUGAGCGUCUGACUUCAGCUCAGGUCACGAUCUCACAGUUCGUGAGUUCGAGCCCCGCGUCGGGCU
RNAcentral lists this transfer RNA (85 nucleotides) under Felis catus (domestic cat). It matches the Rfam family "tRNA". From Rfam's summary of the family: Transfer RNA (tRNA) molecules are approximately 80 nucleotides in length. The record is from Rfam by way of RNAcentral. Lineage: Eukaryota; Metazoa; Chordata; Mammalia; Carnivora; Felidae.